GAAUCCUCAAGAAAUAAUAUAAAAUGGGGCCUAAGGUCCAGUCCCUCAACACAAAUCAAUUGGUUGGUGUUGGAGCUUGUUAUGCCAUUUUCCUUUAAACGAUCCAUCCAAUCCUUGCUCUUUCAAGCCUUUUAAGCCUAAUUUAGCAAAAAGGACAGGCAAAACCAUGACUGACAAAAACAAAAGCUCUCCAACUCGAUCAACAGUGGUGUCACCAACAUCACCACAAAGCUCAUGUGGGUCCAAUGAUAUCAACCAAGAUGGCAACAACAACAACCAUGAAGUCAUUUCUGUAGUAGUUGGUUGCUCUCACUGCCUUAUGUAUAUGAUGAUCAAUAAGGGUGAAAUCAAGUGCCCCAAAUGCAACAACACCAAUUUGAUUCAUUUUACCAAUGACAACAAAAAGAGGGGAUAGAGUAAUAGGCUAGCUUGUUUCCAUUUCUACAUUCUAUGUUGCAAGUGGGACAUGUUAUCAUUUAAUCUUGGAAUUUCCUUUUUAUAUUUCCUUUUUAUCCUUUUUACCAAAACCUUUCUAUGAUUAGUGCUACUUGUGUUA
This is a long non-coding RNA of Glycine soja, 556 nucleotides long. RefSeq lists it as uncharacterized. The transcript has 2 exons. NCBI's taxonomy places the organism in Eukaryota, Viridiplantae, Streptophyta, Magnoliopsida, Fabales, Fabaceae. The record is from RefSeq and is a predicted model, not a curated record.